RNAcentral lists this ribosomal RNA (304 nucleotides) under uncultured bacterium. Its description in RNAcentral is "partial 16S ribosomal RNA". It matches the Rfam family "Bacterial small subunit ribosomal RNA", at positions 506 to 809 of the family's 1533-position model. The record is from RNAcentral.
CAGCAGCAGCCGCGGUAACACGGAGGGUGCAAGCGUUAAUCGGAAUUACUGGGCGUAAAGCGCACGCAGGCGGUCUGACAAGUCAGAUGUGAAAUCCCCGGGCUUAACCUGGGAACUGCAUUUGAAACUGUCAGGCUGGAGUCUUGUAGAGGGGGGUGGAAUUCCAGGUGUAGCGGUGAAAUGCGUAGAGAUCUGGAGGAAUACCGGUGGCGAAGGCGGCCCCCUGGACAAAGACUGACGCUCAGGUGCGAAAGCGUGGGGAGCAAACAGGAUUAGAUACCCCUGUAGUCCCUGUCUCUUAUAA